This 503-nucleotide ribosomal RNA is filed under the name uncultured Eubacterium sp. RNAcentral's name for it is "bacterial SSU rRNA". It matches the Rfam family "Bacterial small subunit ribosomal RNA", at positions 397 to 896 of the family's 1533-position model. Lineage: Bacteria; Bacillati; Bacillota; Clostridia; Eubacteriales; Eubacteriaceae. The record is from RNAcentral.
CCGCGUGAGUGAGGAAGGUCUUCGGAUCGUAAAGCUCUGUUGUAAGAGAAAAACGGCACUCAUAGGGAAUGAUGAGUGAGUGAUGGUAUCUUACCAGAAAGUCACGGCUAACUACGUGCCAGCAGCCGCGGUAAUACGUAGGUGGCGAGCGUUAUCCGGAAUGAUUGGGCGUAAAGGGUGCGUAGGUGGCAGAUCAAGUCUGGAGUAAAAGGUAUGGGCUCAACCCGUACUGGCUCUGGAAACUGAUCAGCUAGAGAACAGAAGAGGACGGCGGAACUCCAUGUGUAGCGGUAAAAUGCGUAGAUAUAUGGAAGAACACCGGUGGCGAAGGCGGCCGUCUGGUCUGGAUUCUGACACUGAAGCACGAAAGCGUGGGGAGCAAAUAGGAUUAGAUACCCUAGUAGUCCACGCCGUAAACGAUGAGAACUAGGUGUUGGGGGAAUAACUCAGUGCCGCAGUUAACGCAGUAAGUUCUCCGCCUGGGGAGUAUGCACGCAAGUGUG